RNAcentral lists this long non-coding RNA (2842 nucleotides) under Hordeum vulgare. RNAcentral's name for it is "long non-coding RNA (HVUL_LNC014296)". Lineage: Eukaryota; Viridiplantae; Streptophyta; Magnoliopsida; Poales; Poaceae. The record is from RNAcentral.
GGAGAGAUCGGGGCGUGAGAGGGAGUGGGGAUGCUCUGUAGACGAAAAAAGCAGGGCCUGCCGGUGCAUGUGACUUGUGAUGUUUUGACACACACAAAAAAGAUCAGCACAUCGCAUAGGACAACAUUUGAACGACCAGAGAAGUCUGUUCUCCAUGAACCCGUUUCAGUGACUUCAAACCAGUGUUCCCCCUGCCCUCUCAUCACGUUGGAAUAACAACUGAGAUAUGCUCAUCGCUAUCGCUUCUCGUGAACCAUCGAGCGAACACGCUACCUGCCUUUUAUGUCCUCCUCUUCUCUUGAUCCUCAUCUGGUCAAACCAACCUGUGGGAACAACCAUCCUAUUCAUGCAAGGCAAGAAAAUAUCACGCCACUUAUUUCAAUAGAUGGCAUGAUACUUGGGCUUUCUGACUGAAUGGAGCAGGAGUGUGGGGCACUUGAAGGAAGAAGAACCUCCGAUCCAGCUCAUCAUGGAUGAAAUCAUGGAGCGAAUCAGUGCGACAGCGUGCAUGAUGUAAUCUUGAGGAUCCGUGGAUAAUUCCCGGUGCGUCUCAUGCCCACGCCAUCAAAUUCAAAACCACAAAUUUGGAUAAAAAAUUCAAAAAAUAGUGCACAAAGACGAUCGGAUAAGGAACAUGCUAUUUCUCUGUUGCUUAGGAAAGAUAUAUAAAGGGCUUGAGUCGUAGUAUCCUCCAGUAGGUGAAUAGCUAAGAAUCCCGUAAUUAUGAGUUUUCACUUCCGGUAGGUCUGAGGCGCUUUAACCAAACAUUGAAUUUUCUAAAUGUUGUCCUUUUGAGAAGGAACACCUUUUUCGAAGUUCCAACUUCUGCAUCAAGAUGACACACCUACCAAACACACAAAAACGUAUUUUUAUGUUUAUAAAGUUCAUGGAAAUAAAGCCAGUCAGCUAGUUUUUCGUCCUUCCGUGAUGCUCGUAGAUCCAACUUUGUCUUGUCCAAUUCUCACGUUGCAUUUUCAACCUAGUGCCUCACCUUGAGCCGCGUGAGACUGAGACCUGCCUGCCAGACAAUCUCCCGUGCAUGGAAUAACAAUAAUUAUUCUGUUUAACUGGUAAGUGAGGUAAACAGUAAAAAGGAACUUUUCGUAUAUCUUUGUUUCUCUCAUGUGGUUCGAUGUCCUGAAAUAUGUAAUUUUUCCCUCCAUUGUAAAAUAGGGACUGUUAGUUGAGACAUGGUCAAUCUUCAAAUUAUUGCAUUGAAAUUCUUAUCUUACCUACAUAAAUUCAACUAUAGUACUAUCUUUUGGAAUUUUUCAAGUAAAUAUUCAUACAUCAAUAAAUAAGGUUAGAGAAACAUGACUGCAAGUUUUUCUACAACAUCUUAUUUUUAAACAUGGUAACUCAAUUAUAAAAUAUAUAUAUUAUAACUUUAUAUGUCUGGCAAUCAUAGUAAAGGUAGACUAAGUGAAUUUGGGCAAACAUUUUCCAUGACCACCCACAUACUUAUUGCUUUCUCAUUAUUAUUCUUUUCCACGUAUCACCACUACUGUACUACAAUCAGCAUGCCAACAUUAUUAUUUCUGUUCUUACAAUUUUAUUAUUCAUGCUAAAUAUUUAUUGAAAAGUAUUUCCAUAUUUUUUUAUCUAUUUAUGCAUAGGCUCAGAAAUUGUUAAUAAGUGAUAACUACAUAGACUUUUAAAUAUUUUAUUUUUCUAAAAUAUGUUUCAUUGCCUUUUCUCUGCCUUAAUACGAUGCUGAAAGUAAAAAUAUAUGCAUCGCAUAAAACUGUACUUGUAAAUAUCAUGGAAACUACUUUUUAAAAUUUUAAUUUAUCUUAGUGGAAUGUGCUUUGUUUUUGUGUUGUCGUUAGUUGAAUAGUUGUGCUAGUUUUUGUACUGGGAUCGUAAGCAACUUCAUAUAAUAACAAAUACUCCAUCAUUUAUAUAUGGUACACGUAACAAAAGAUUUUGAUGAGAUAUGAAAACUGAGAGAGAAGAUGCAUACAUGCAGAUAGGAUGCAUGCAUGCGUGCAUACACCAGGAUGAGUGCGCUUUGUGUAAGAAUGAUUUUGGUGUAUGGAGUACCAUAUUAAUAUUAUACAUAUGCAUCAUGCAGAGACAAAAUAGGACAUGAUCAAGUUGCAAACCUGUCACUCGGAGCAUGCAGAGACAAAAAUAGGACAUGAUCAACUUUACGGGGACGGCUCCAGUGGCAUAAACAGGAACAGCAAGGCAAGUCCAUCAUUCCAAAGCCUUGGAUAGAUGCAUGUAUAUCAAGCCGAUUGAACUCCAAGAUUUCGUUUGAACCGAUGAAUGCUUGAUCGACUAGCGAUAAUUAUGAAUGAAUUGCGGCCGUGGCGGCAUGAGCAGAAGCUAAGCGAGAUACCUUGCAGUCAAACCUCUUGGUUGUAUAGAUACAUGCAUCAGGAUAGAUUCAAAUGCGAGAUACCUUGCGAGCCCGAUGGACGCCUGAUGACUGGGAUAAUUACAAGCGAAUUGUGGGUGUGGCGGCAUGAGCAGAAGUUAGGCCCAGGCGGACACCCGCUCGACCAUCCAUAAGAACACGUCAGAGGCGACCAUGCAUGAGGAGAAGCCAAGCGAACGCGGCAGCCAUCUAAGAUAACAGGUUACGAAGAUCGGAUGGCUACAAUGUCUCAAUUUAUAAAGGAUCAUUAUUUUCUUAUGAGAGGCGAUUUCCUAUGCUUGAUGGUAGCUACACACCCUCUAGCAUAAGUGUCUUUUUAAAUAUAUGUAGUGUCGGGUUUCCAUGGCAUUGGAACAGGUGCAUGUUUGUUGUAUAGAAAUGACAUUUUCCAACUUAACUUUCUUUUUUUUAUUUACCUUUUUGACACAAGUGACUUUUGGUUGUGUAGAAAUGACGCUU